Molecule: ribosomal RNA, 492 nt
Filed under: uncultured bacterium
Lineage: Bacteria
Description: partial 16S ribosomal RNA
Rfam family: Bacterial small subunit ribosomal RNA
Source: RNAcentral
AGUGAACGCUGGCGGUAGGCCUAACACAUGCAAGUCGAACGGCAGCACAGUAAGAGCUUGCUCUUACGGGUGGCGAGUGGCGGACGGGUGAGGAAUACAUCGGAAUCUACUUUUUCGUGGGGGAUAACGUAGGGAAACUUACGCUAAUACCGCAUACGACCUACGGGUGAAAGCAGGGGAUCUUCGGACCUUGCGCGAUUGAAUGAGCCGAUGUCGGAUUAGCUAGUUGGCGGGGUAAAGGCCCACCAAGGCGACGAUCCGUAGCUGGUCUGAGAGGAUGAUCAGCCACAAUGGAACUGGGAAACGGUCCAGACUCCUACGGGAGGCAGCCGUGGGGAAUAUUGGACAAUGGGCGCAAGCCUGAUCCAGCCAUACCGCGUGGGUGAAGAAGGCCUUCGGGUUGUAAAGCCCUUUUGUUGGGAAAGAAAAGCAGCAGGUUAAUACCCCGCUGUUCUGACGGUACCCAAAGAAUAAGCACCGGCUAACUUCGUG